AGUGAACGCUGGCGGUAGGCCUAACACAUGCGAGUCGAACGGCAGCACAGUAAGAGCUUGCUCUUACGGGUGGCGAGUGGCGGACAGGUGAGGAAUACUUCGGAAUCUACUUUUUCGUGGGGGAUAACGUAGGGAAACUUACGCUAAUACCGCAUACGACCUACGGGUGAAAGCAGGGGAUCUUCGGACCUUGCGCGAUUGAAUGAGCCGAUGUCGGAUUAGCUAGUUGGCGGGGUAAAGGCCCACCAAGGCGACGAUCCGUAGCUGGUCUGAGAGGAUGAUCAGCCACACUGGAACUGAGACACGGUCCAGACUCCUACGGGAGGCAGCAGUGGGGAAUAUUGGACAAUGGGCGCAAGCCUGAUCCAGCCAUACCGCGUGGGUGAAGAAGGCCUUCGGGUUGUAAAGCCCUUUUGUUGGGAAAGAAAAGCAGCAGGUUAAUACCCCGCUGUUCUGACGGUACCCAAAGAAUAAGCACCGGCUAACUUCGUG
This 492-nucleotide ribosomal RNA is filed under the name uncultured bacterium. Its description in RNAcentral is "partial 16S ribosomal RNA". It matches the Rfam family "Bacterial small subunit ribosomal RNA", at positions 29 to 507 of the family's 1533-position model. The record is from RNAcentral.